AGCCCCCCGAGUGGUGGGGAUGAUUAUUUGGCCUAAAGCGUCCGUAGCCGGCUUUGUAAAUCUCUCGUUAAAUCCAGCGUCCUAAGCGUUGGGCUGCGAGAGGCACUGCAGAGCUAGAGGGUGGGAGAGGUCAGCGGUAUUCCUGGGGUAGGGGCGAAAUCCAUUGAUCCCAGGAGGACCACCAGUGGCGAAGGCUGCUGUCCAGAACACGCCUGACGGUCAGGGACGAAAGCUGGGGUAGCGAAUCGGAUUAGAUACCCGAGUAGUCC
Molecule: ribosomal RNA, 269 nt
Filed under: uncultured archaeon
Lineage: Archaea
Description: partial 16S ribosomal RNA
Rfam family: Archaeal small subunit ribosomal RNA
Source: RNAcentral